Molecule: non-coding RNA, 113 nt
Organism: Acanthosepion pharaonis
Lineage: Eukaryota; Metazoa; Mollusca; Cephalopoda; Sepiida; Sepiidae
Source: the annotation of a GenBank genome assembly
UACAGCCACAUCAUCUUGAAACACCGACUCCCGUACGAUCACUGAAGUUAAGCAACGUCGAUCCUGGUCAGUACCUAGAUUGGUGACCGCUUGGGAAUACCAGCUGCUGUAAG